GUGCCAGCAGCCGCGGUAAGACAGAGGGUGCAAACGUUGUUCGGAAUUACUGGGCGUAAAGCGUGUGUAGGCGGUCUCAUAAGUCGGAUGUGAAAGCCCCGGGCUCAACCCGGGAAGUGCAUUCGAAACUGCGAGGCUAGAGUAUCGGAGAGGUUGGUGGAAUUCUCGGUGUAGAGGUGAAAUUCGUAGAUAUCGAGAGGAACACCGGUGGCGAAGGCGGCCAACUGGACGAAUACUGACGCUGAGACACGAAAGCGUGGGGAGCAAACAGGAUUAGAAACCCUGGUAGUCC
This 292-nucleotide ribosomal RNA is filed under the name uncultured bacterium. RNAcentral's name for it is "partial 16S ribosomal RNA". It matches the Rfam family "Bacterial small subunit ribosomal RNA", at positions 505 to 796 of the family's 1533-position model. The record is from RNAcentral.